CGGGAGGCAGCAGUGGGGAAUUUUGGACAAUGGGGGCAACCCUGAUCCAGCAAUGCCGCGUGUGUGAAGAAGGCCUUCGGGUUGUAAAGCACUUUUGUCCGGAAAGAAAUCCCUUGCCCUAAUACGGCGGGGGGAUGACGGUACCGGAAGAAUAAGCACCGGCUAACUACGUGCCAGCAGCCGCGGUAAUACGUAGGGUGCGAGCGUUAAUCGGAAUUACUGGGCGUAAAGCGUGCGCAGGCGGUUUUGUAAGACAGGCGUGAAAUCCCCGAGCUCAACUUGGGAAUGGCGCUUGUGACUGCAAGGCUAGAGUAUGUCAGAGGGGGGUAGAAUUCCACGUGUAGCAGUGAAAUGCGUAGAGAUGUGGAGGAAUACCGAUGGCGAAGGCAGCCCCCUGGGACGUCACUGACGCUCAUGCACGAAAG
Molecule: ribosomal RNA, 425 nt
Filed under: uncultured bacterium
Lineage: Bacteria
Description: bacterial SSU rRNA
Rfam family: Bacterial small subunit ribosomal RNA
Source: RNAcentral